This is a long non-coding RNA of Sinocyclocheilus grahami, 187 nucleotides long. RefSeq lists it as uncharacterized. The record is from RefSeq and is a predicted model, not a curated record. The transcript is spliced from 4 exons. NCBI's taxonomy places the organism in Eukaryota, Metazoa, Chordata, Actinopteri, Cypriniformes, Cyprinidae.
CCAAGGUGCCAUUUUGUGAAGCACAUGUGAAUACGGUGAGAAGGGUGGGAGAAGAUAUUUUCUGAAACGCAACGUGAUGUAGACGCUGAAAAGAGCUGUGCAACAAGUGAUGGUGCAAGAACGGAAUAAUUGGAGACCAGCCCUGUGGAACAACAUAGAGAAGUUGUAAUUUGAUGCUUAAUUGUCU